GAUUCCCCCAGUAACUGCGAGUGAAGAGGGAAGAGCUCAUCAUUGGAAUCUGGCAGUGUUGCACUGUCCGAGUUGUAGAUGAGGAGUAGUCCGUCUGGACUGCAUGGCGUCCAAGUACAAUAGGCCGUCAGUGGGACAUCAUAGAGGGUGACAAUCCCGUCCUUGACGCCAAUGUGCAAGUCUAUUACGAUGGCUAUCUCAGAGAGUCGAGCAGUUUGGGAUUUGCUGCUUAAACAUGGGAGGUAGAUUCCUUCUAAAGCUAAAUACAGGCGAGAGACCGAUAGAGAACAAGUACCGCAAGGGAAAGAUGAAAUAGCACUCUGUGAAGGGAGUCAAAAGGCGUGAAAUUGUUGCGAGAGAAGCGAUUCAAGUCAGCGUAGCUAGGCCCAUCAAGCGUCUUCGCUUUGGACUAGCUUUGCCAGCGGUCUUGUCCCUUGAAGAGACUUGACUUGUAAUAUGUCCAGCCUGGCGUGCACAGGCAGCCCCUUCUGGGGGCCAGUGGCAUGGCUGGUGGAAUGGCUUGCAAUCGACCCGUCUUGAAACACGGACCAAGGAGUCUAACAUGUAUGCGAGUAUAAGGGUGGCAAACCCGUAUGCGCAAUGAAAGUGAUUUUCGGUGAUUGAGAAUGGCCUGAUGACCAGACAAGCAAUAUAUGUCCCUCGUACGGCCAUUGCCCAAGUUCCGUGGUAGAUCCCACGAACAUGGAGUUGGAGCAUACAUGCUAGGACCCGAAAGAUGGUGAACUAUGCCUGGACAAAGCGAAGCCAAAGGAAACUCUGGUGGAGGCUUGUAGCGAUUCUGACGUGCAAAUCGAUCGUCUGAUCU
RNAcentral lists this ribosomal RNA (826 nucleotides) under Craterellus yunnanensis. RNAcentral's name for it is "Cantharellus yunnanensis partial large subunit ribosomal RNA". It matches the Rfam family "Eukaryotic large subunit ribosomal RNA", at positions 73 to 912 of the family's 3401-position model. Lineage: Eukaryota; Fungi; Basidiomycota; Agaricomycetes; Cantharellales; Hydnaceae. The record is from RNAcentral.